GCAAGUGUGUUGGAAUUGGUAGACAAGUUCCUCUUAGGAUGGAGUGGCGUAAGCUGUAAGAGUUCAAGUCUCUUCACUUGUA
Molecule: transfer RNA, 82 nt
Filed under: Laetiporus sulphureus
Lineage: Eukaryota; Fungi; Basidiomycota; Agaricomycetes; Polyporales; Laetiporaceae
Description: tRNA-Thr
Rfam family: tRNA
About the family: Transfer RNA (tRNA) molecules are approximately 80 nucleotides in length.
Source: RNAcentral